This 27-nucleotide non-coding RNA is filed under the name Mus musculus (house mouse). The record is from RNAcentral. Lineage: Eukaryota; Metazoa; Chordata; Mammalia; Rodentia; Muridae.
UGCCUGUCCAUUUCUGUUGUGUGCAGA